UACUUAGGGAUCUGUCCUUCGGAGGGGAGUAACCAUUGGAAACGAUGGCUAAUACCGCAUAACGUCUACGGACCAAAGGGGGCGUUCGGCUCUCACCGAGGGAGGAACCUAAGCGAGAUUAGCUAGUUGGUGAGGUAAAGGCUCACCAAGGCGACGAUCUCUAGCUGUUCUGAGAGGAAGAUCAGCCACACUGGGACCGAGACACGGCCCAGACUCCUACGGGAGGCAGCAGUGGGGAAUAUUGCACAAUGGGGGAAACCCUGAUGCAGCCAUGCCGCGUGUGUGAAGAAGGCCUCGGUU
This 300-nucleotide ribosomal RNA is filed under the name uncultured Glaciecola sp. Its description in RNAcentral is "bacterial SSU rRNA". It matches the Rfam family "Bacterial small subunit ribosomal RNA", at positions 114 to 424 of the family's 1533-position model. The record is from RNAcentral. Lineage: Bacteria; Pseudomonadati; Pseudomonadota; Gammaproteobacteria; Alteromonadales; Alteromonadaceae.